UGGGCCAAAUGCUCUGAUUCCGUACUGUAGAAAAUCUAAUCUAUAAUGUAUGGCCAGCAAUGUAGGAAGAAGAUCGAUGAUCUUCUCCAUUCUGCCAGUCACCAUCUGAUACCCAUGCCCACUCUAUCUCUGCUGCCAUACCCACCUCCCAGCAAGGCUUAUGUUCUAACACUCUCAGUGAUAUCUGCAACAUCUUCCUUCACUCACUCCAAUCCCUGACACCACUAACCCUGCAUGCCUUCAGGCUGCCUAUUAUCUCGCUUAUGAACUGUACUAAAAGUAACAGUUAUGCCACCCACUUUCAUUUCUCUUAAUACUGGCCUAUUGGCCCAAGGCUAGCUCCCUAGACUGCUGCCAACAUGUUCCUGGCUUUGUGUCUGUGCUAAAUAACCUGUGGAUGCAGUCAAACCAUGAGGCUGAUAUUCUGCAACUACUUUCCGACUAGUGGAGCUGAGCAUUUUUACGUCAAUGAAUGUUUAGGUUAAUUGAAAUACUGAUACCUGUUUUAUGUUACUCUUCUUUCUGAGGGAAAGAUGCCGUAUAUACAGUUCUCCAGUCUGCUGAGAGCUUUCCAUCUGGAGGUUUCAAGAAGAUGAGAACCUAAGCCUUCUACUCUCCAUCCACCUCUUUUAAGACCCCAGGAUGCAAGCCAUCAGGGAGACAGGAUCGAGGAGGACUUGAUGACUGACCUUCCACACCAGUCGCCGCCCCACUUUAGAUGAAAGCCCACAUGCACAAGAGCCAAAUGUCGCCUACAGCUGUGAUGACAGAUGAGUACUUACUCCUGCCAACACUGCACUGAAGCUGUGGGAAACCAGCCUACCUUCUGAUUCUCCAGCCUGCUCCUGCUCAAUGAACAACCUUCUCACUUACAGCAUUUUACUUCAACGGGAAUACUCGCAUUUCAUUACUCUCAUGCUCCCCACAUGCCUCAGUGGGUCAGUGAAUUUUUGGUGCGCAACCAAAAUACAUUUUAAAGGGACAACCAAGAUCUCUCGAGCUGGCCCUCAGAAAUUUACCGCUGAGCCCAGAGUCAACAUUGAUGACGUGUGAUGUAAAGAAUUAGAAUUAGAAACAGGCCCUUCAGCCCAGCAAGUCCACAUCGACCCUCUGAAGAAUACCCCAUCCAG
Chiloscyllium plagiosum (whitespotted bambooshark) is the source of this 1130-nucleotide non-coding RNA. The record is from RefSeq and is a predicted model, not a curated record. NCBI's taxonomy places the organism in Eukaryota, Metazoa, Chordata, Chondrichthyes, Orectolobiformes, Hemiscylliidae.